This 454-nucleotide ribosomal RNA is filed under the name uncultured bacterium. Its description in RNAcentral is "partial 16S ribosomal RNA". It matches the Rfam family "Bacterial small subunit ribosomal RNA", at positions 28 to 507 of the family's 1533-position model. The record is from RNAcentral.
GAUGAACGCUGACAGAAUGCUUAACACAUGCAAGUCUACCUGAACUUCGGUGUGUGUGGCGGACGGUUGAGUAACGCGUAAAGAACUUGCCUCACAGUUAGGUACAACAUAUGGAAACGAAUGCUAAUACCUGAUAUUAUGAUUUUAGGGCAUCCUAGAAUUAUGAAAGCUAUAUGCACUGUGAGAGGGCUUUGCGUCCUAUUAGCUAGUUGGAGAGGUAACGGCUUACCAAGGCGAUGAUGGGUAGCCGGCCUGAGAGGGUGAUCGGCCACAAGGGGACGGAGACACGGCCCUUACUCCUACGGGAGGCAGCAGUGGGGAUUAUUGGACAAGGGACCAAGAGUCUGAUCCAGCAAUUCUGUGUGGAAGAUGAAGUUUUUCGGAAUGUAAAGUGCUUUCAGUUGGGAAGAAAAAAAUGACGGUACCAACAGAAGAAGUGACGGCUAAAUACGUG